GGCGCUGAAGCGUCGUGCUUAUACUCUGCCGUCGGGACAGUAGUGAUAUCUUUACAUUCUCCGGGGUGUAAAAUAUCGUCAGGUCUCGACGAGUAGGUGGGCCGCGGCGGUGAGCGCAGAAGGACUGGGCGUAGGCCCGUCUGGAGCCUCCGUCGGUGCAGAUCUUGGUGGUAGUAGCAAAUACUCCAGCGAGGCCCUGGAGGACUGACGUGGAGAAGGGUUUCGUGUGAACAGCCGUUGCACACGAGUCAGUCGAUCCUAAGCCCUAGGAGAAAUCCGAUGUUAAUGCAGUUGUGUCUUUAUUUAUAUGAUAACUUAGUGUGAGAGUAACACGUUGACGUUAUACUUUUGAUACAUACAGAGAAUUGCUGACUGACGUACUGACUUUCACGCGCUCUCACACCGGCCGCCUUGUGCUGUCCCAUUGGUUCUACCAAUUGUGAUGGGUGCUUGUGCUCUAAAGUGUGUAUGUGUUGUGUGUUAUGGAGGUAGCUGAAACACAAUUUUAUUGUUGAUAAAGUGUCUUCGCUGGUCUCUAUCCACUGAUGAAUCGUUAUUAGAGAAGUAUCACACUCAUUGGGCGAAAGGGAAUCCGGUUCCUAUUCCGGAACCCGGCAGCGGAACCGUUUACAAGUCGGGCCCUCUUUGAGAGUUCGUCGGGGCAACCCAAAAAGACCUGGAGACGCCGUCGGGAGAUCCGGGAAGAGUUUUCUUUUCUGUAUGAGCGUUCGAGUUCCCUGGAAUCCUCUAGCAGGGAGAUAGGGUUUGGAACGCGAAGAGCACCGCAGUUGCGGCGGUGUCUGGAUCGUCCCCUCGGACCUUGAAAAUCCAGGAGAGGGCCACGUGGAGGUGUCGCGCCGGUUCGUACCCAUAUCCGCAGCAGUUCCAAGGAGAC
RNAcentral lists this ribosomal RNA (895 nucleotides) under Carabus clathratus. RNAcentral describes it as "eukaryotic LSU rRNA". It matches the Rfam family "Eukaryotic large subunit ribosomal RNA", at positions 1324 to 1876 of the family's 3401-position model. The record is from RNAcentral. Lineage: Eukaryota; Metazoa; Arthropoda; Insecta; Coleoptera; Carabidae.